UACGUAGGGGGCGAGCGUUGUCCGGAAUCAUUGGGCGUAAAGAGCUCGUAGGCGGUUCAGUAAGUCAGGUGUGAAAGCUCCGAGCUCAACUCGGAGAGGCCACCUGAUACUGCUGUGACUAGAAUCCAGUAGGGGAGUGUGGAACUCCUGGUGUAGCGGUGAAAUGCGCAGAUAUCAGGAAGAACACCAGCGGCGAAGGCGGCACUCUGGGCUGGAAUUGACGCUGAGGAGCGAAAGUGUGGGUAGCAAACAGG
RNAcentral lists this ribosomal RNA (254 nucleotides) under uncultured bacterium. RNAcentral's name for it is "partial 16S ribosomal RNA". It matches the Rfam family "Bacterial small subunit ribosomal RNA", at positions 524 to 776 of the family's 1533-position model. The record is from RNAcentral. RNAcentral also lists the same sequence under 1 other name.